Oncorhynchus keta (chum salmon) is the source of this 151-nucleotide long non-coding RNA. RefSeq lists it as uncharacterized. The transcript is spliced from 3 exons. The record is from RefSeq and is a predicted model, not a curated record. Lineage: Eukaryota; Metazoa; Chordata; Actinopteri; Salmoniformes; Salmonidae.
UGACAGGAUAGGUGACAGGAUAGGUAACAGGAUAGGUGACAGGAUAGUUGACAGGAUAGGUAACAGGAUAGGUGACAGGAUAGGUAACAAGAUAGGUAACAGGAUAGGUGACAGGAUAGGUGACAGGAUAGGUGACAGGAUAGUUGACAGG